GGAAGUAAAAGUCGUAACAAGGUUUCCGUAGGUGAACCUGCGGAAGGAUCAUUAAAGAGUAAGGGUGCUCAGCGCCCGACCUCCAACCCUUUGUUGUUAAAACUACCUUGUUGCUUUGGCGGGACCGCUCGGUCUCGAGCCGCUGGGGAUUCGUCCCAGGCGAGCGCCCGCCAGAGUCAAACCAAACUCUUGUUAUUUAACCGGUCGUCUGAGUUAAAAUUUUGAAUAAAUCAAAACUUUCAACAACGGAUCUCUUGGUUCUCGCAUCGAUGAAGAACGCAGCGAAAUGCGAUAAGUAAUGUGAAUUGCAGAAUUCAGUGAAUCAUCGAAUCUUUGAACGCACAUUGCGCCCCUUGGUAUUCCGAGGGGCAUGCCUGUUCGAGCGUCAUUACACCACUCAAGCUAUGCUUGGUAUUGGGCGUCGUCCUUAGUUGGGCGCGCCUUAAAGACCUCGGCGAGGCCACUCCGGCUUUAGGCGUAGUAGAAUUUAUUCGAACGUCUGUCAAAGGAGAGGAACUCUGCCGACUGAAACCUUUAUUUUUCUAGGUUGACCUCGGAUCAGGUAGGGAUACCCGCUGAACUUAAGCAUAUCAAUAAGCGGAGGA
This 605-nucleotide ribosomal RNA is filed under the name Aureobasidium pullulans. RNAcentral describes it as "eukaryotic LSU rRNA". The stretch from base 235 to 388 matches the Rfam family "5.8S ribosomal RNA". The record is from RNAcentral. Lineage: Eukaryota; Fungi; Ascomycota; Dothideomycetes; Dothideales; Saccotheciaceae.